This 573-nucleotide small RNA is filed under the name Histoplasma ohiense. Its description in RNAcentral is "hypothetical lncRNA". Lineage: Eukaryota; Fungi; Ascomycota; Eurotiomycetes; Onygenales; Ajellomycetaceae. The record is from RNAcentral.
UUGGCACUGAAGGUUAGAUAGAAGCGUGGACUCUCUCAUCCACACAGGAGGGAAUGAAAGACGAAGGAAAUCGGCCUCAGGGUUGAUAGCUCGCCACUGGCCUUUUCUUUUUCUUCCCCCCUCUUCCUACAAGCGAUUUAUUUGUAUGCUAUUGUCAAUGCCACUACAUCCCGUAGCGCCUGGUUGUCGAGGCUGAGUCUAGUCAAGCUUUGUCAUACCCAUUUUGUUCGGUGAUCAGAUCCUCCCGGAGACGGCAUUUCGGUGGACACUUGGACGGAGCAGUGAGAUAAAAACAGAUGGGAAAACCUUGCCCUGACAGUAUGAGAACUUGAUAACGGGAGACAGAAUAAACAAAGUUCUGGCUUUUGUUCGGGUCGUAUGCUUAAGAGUUUGCAGCAGACCAGGAACAGGUAUGUUUGUAAAUAUAUACGAUUUUGCUCGUAUUUCCUUUUUCCCCACAAGAAAAUGGGUGAAUAGAUAAAUAGAUAAAAUAAAUGGACGGUAAAAUAUUUCAGAUAACUAGUUAUUUAGUUUAAAAAAAAGGGACAAGGGAAGGCUUGGAGCCGCGGUGAC